AUAUUGGACAAUGGGGGCAACCCUGACCCAGCCAUGCCGCGGGUGUUAAGAAGGUCUUCGGAUGGUAAAGCACGGUAAGGUGGGAGGAAGGGCUUUAGGUUAAUACCCUGAAGUUUUGACGUUACCAACGGAAUAACCACCGGCUAACUCUGUGCCAGCAGCAGCGGUAAUACAUAGGGUGCAAGCGUUAAUCGGAAUUACUGGGCGUAAAGCGCGCGUAGGUGGUUCAGUAAGAUGGGUGUGAAAUCCCCGGGCUUAACCUGGGAACUGCUUUCAUAACUGCUGAGCUAGAGUACGGUAGAGGGUAGUGGAAUUUCCUGUGUAGCGGUGAAAUGCGUAGAUAUAGGAAGGAACACCAGUGGCGAAGGCGACUACCUGGACUGAUACUGACACUGAGGUGCGAAAGCGUGGGGAGCAAAC
This 420-nucleotide ribosomal RNA is filed under the name uncultured bacterium. Its description in RNAcentral is "partial 16S ribosomal RNA". It matches the Rfam family "Bacterial small subunit ribosomal RNA", at positions 361 to 773 of the family's 1533-position model. The record is from RNAcentral.